RNAcentral lists this transfer RNA (77 nucleotides) under Gammaproteobacteria bacterium. RNAcentral's name for it is "tRNA-Pro". It matches the Rfam family "tRNA". Rfam says of the family: Transfer RNA (tRNA) molecules are approximately 80 nucleotides in length. The record is from RNAcentral. Lineage: Bacteria; Pseudomonadati; Pseudomonadota; Gammaproteobacteria.
CGGAGUGUAGCUCAGCCCGGCAGAGCACUGUCUUCGGGAGGCAGGGGUCGGUGGUUCAAAUCCACUCACUCCGACCA